This 263-nucleotide long non-coding RNA is filed under the name Homo sapiens (human). RNAcentral describes it as "non-protein coding lnc-CBLN2-9:1". Lineage: Eukaryota; Metazoa; Chordata; Mammalia; Primates; Hominidae. The record is from RNAcentral.
UAUGGUGGUUGAUUUAUGAGUCCAUGGCUGUAGAUUUCUUGUUUUAUUUUGCCUUCUACAAGAAUAGUUAAUAACUUUUCUUGUUCUGUUACUCUAAAAUCAAGAGGAACUUUUAUAUUUAAUCCCAAAUCUCUUUAUUUUUAAAUUUUUAUUAUUUUUUGUUUGUUUGAGACCGAGUCUCACUCUGUCGCGCAGGCUGGAGUGCAGUGCAGUGAUCUUGGCUCACUGCAGCCUCCACCUCCCAGGUUCAAGUGAUUCUGGUG